This is a small nucleolar RNA of Rhododendron vialii, 105 nucleotides long. RefSeq annotates it as small nucleolar RNA snoR97. The record is from RefSeq and is a predicted model, not a curated record. Lineage: Eukaryota; Viridiplantae; Streptophyta; Magnoliopsida; Ericales; Ericaceae. The transcript has a single exon.
AAGAAACUGUCGGUGUAGGGUCUGAAAAACUCAAAGAUUUUGUGCUGUCAUCAACUUCUUCUCUUGCUAUUCACGGGAUUGGAGUCAAACUAACAGCCUACAUUC